AACAACUCACCUGCCGAAUGAAUUAGCCCUGAAAAUGGAUGACGCUUAAGCGGAUAGCCGACACCACGUCGUCUGAUCAAAGUGGUAACCAGAUGAGUAGGAGGGCGUGGCGGUCGUAUGGAAGCGUCGGUGCGAACCGGCGUGAAACGGCCGCUAGUGCAGAUCUUGGUGGUAGUAGCAAAUAUUCAAGUGAGAUCCUUGAAGGACGAAGCGGGGAAGGGUUCCACGCGAACAUUGAUUGAGCGUGGGUGAGUCGUUCCUAAGCCGAGUGGUCAUAGCUAAUUACCGGCGAAAGGGAAGCAGGUUGACAUUCCUGCACACGGAUGUGGAGGCGGUGACGCCGUAUUGAGGUGAUGACGUUGGCAGUGGCUCUGGGCAGAGUUUUCUUUUCUGUUUGACCGUCAAUGCGCGCUGUGUGGAAUCCGCUUGUCGGGAGAAACACGCGUGCACGGGCAGAGCGCCGGGGCUUUUCCGGCGUCCAGAUCGCCACUGACGACCCUUGAAAAAUCACCCGCUGAUUUAUACAAUCCACGCCGUGGCGUACCGAUCACCGCAUCAGGUCCCCAAGGUGAACAGCCUCUGUUCAAUAUGAAAAAU
This 597-nucleotide ribosomal RNA is filed under the name Ceramium sp. ARS-2011. RNAcentral describes it as "eukaryotic LSU rRNA". It matches the Rfam family "Eukaryotic large subunit ribosomal RNA", at positions 1284 to 1900 of the family's 3401-position model. Lineage: Eukaryota; Rhodophyta; Florideophyceae; Ceramiales; Ceramiaceae. The record is from RNAcentral.